UACGUAGGGUGCGAGCGUUAAUCGGAAUUACUGGGCGUAAAGCGUGCGCAGGCGGUUUUGUAAGACAGAUGUGAAAUCCCCGGGCUUAACCUGGGAAUGGCAUUUGGGACUGCAAGGCUGGAGUGUGGCAGAGGAGACUGGAAUUCCUGGUGUAGCAGUGAAAUGCGUAGAUAUCAGGAGGAAUACCGAUGGCGAAGGCAGGUCUCUGGGCUGACACUGACGCUCAUGCACGAAAGCGUGGGGAGCAAACAGG
RNAcentral lists this ribosomal RNA (253 nucleotides) under uncultured bacterium. RNAcentral's name for it is "partial 16S ribosomal RNA". It matches the Rfam family "Bacterial small subunit ribosomal RNA", at positions 524 to 776 of the family's 1533-position model. The record is from RNAcentral.